ACGGGUGAGUAACACGUGGGAACGUGCCCUUUGGUCCGGAACAACCCAGGGAAACUUGGGCUAAUACCGGAUAAGCCCUUACGGGGAAAGAUUUAUCGCCAAAGGAUCGGCCCGCGUCUGAUUAGCUAGUUGGUGAGGUAACGGCUCACCAAGGCUACGAUCAGUAGCUGGUCUGAGAGGAUGAUCAGCCACACUGGGACUGAGACACGGCCCAGACUCCAACGGGAGGCAGCAGUUAGGAAUCUUGGACAAUGGGCGCAAGCCUGAUCCAGCCAUGCCGCGUGAGUGAUGAAGGCCUUGGGGUUGUAAAGCUCUUUCAGCGGGGAAGAUAAUGACGGUACCCGCAGAAGAAGCCCCGGCUAACUUCGUGCCAGCAGCCGCGGUAAUACGAAGGGGGCUAGCGUUGCUCGGAAUCACUGGGCGUAAAGCGCACGUAGGCGGCUUUUUAAGUCAGGGGUGAAAUCCUGGAGCUCAACUCCAGAACUGCCUUUGAUACUGGGAAGCUUGAGUCCGGGAGAGGUGAGUGGAACUCCGAGUGUAGAGGUGAAAUUCGUAGA
This 557-nucleotide ribosomal RNA is filed under the name uncultured Hyphomicrobiales bacterium. Its description in RNAcentral is "bacterial SSU rRNA". It matches the Rfam family "Bacterial small subunit ribosomal RNA", at positions 102 to 694 of the family's 1533-position model. Lineage: Bacteria; Pseudomonadati; Pseudomonadota; Alphaproteobacteria; Hyphomicrobiales. The record is from RNAcentral.